AGAGUUUGAUCCUGGCUCAGAACGAACGCUGGCGGCGUGCUUAACACAUGCAAGUCGAACGCGAACGAGUUCUUCGGAACUUUAGUAGAGUGGCGCACGGGUGGGUAACGCGUAAGUAAUCUACCCUCGCAUUUGGGAUAACCCACCGAAAGGUGUGCUAAUACCAGAUACGUCUAAGAUAAUAUCUUUUUUUUAGAGAAAGGUGGCCUCUGAUUCAAGCUACUGUGCGAGGAGGAGCUUGCGUACCAUUAGCUAGUUGGUAGGGUAAUGGCCUACCAAGGCAACGAUGGUUAGCGGGUCUGAGAGGAUGAUCCGCCACACUGGAACUGAAACACGGACCAGACUCCUACGGGAGGCAGCAGUGAGGAAUAUUGCGCAAUGGGGGCAACCCUGACGCAGCGACGCCGCGUGGAUGAUGAAGGCCUUCGGGUUGUAAAAUCCUGUCAGAUGGGAAGAAGUGCUAUACGGUUAAUAUCUUUAUAGUUUGACGGUACCAUCAAAGGAAGCACCGGCUAACUCCGUGCCAGCAGCCGCGGUAAUACGGAGGGUGCAAGCGUUGUUCGGAAUUACUGGGCGUAAAGCGCGCGUAGGCGGUCUGUUAUGUCAGGUGUGAAAGUCCAUGGCUCAACCAUGGAAGUGCAUUUGAAACUGACAGACUUGAGUACUGGAGGGGGUGGUGGAAUUCCCGGUGUAGAGGUGAAAUUCGUAGAUAUCGGGAGGAAUACCGGUGGCGAAGGCGACCACCUGGCCAGAUACUGACGCUGAGGUGCGAAAGCGUGGGGAGCAAACAGGAUUAGAUACCCUGGUAGUCCACGCCGUAAACGAUGUGAACUAGGUGUUGGGAUGGUUAAUCGUCUCAUUGCCGGAGCUAACGCAUUAGUUCACCGCCUGGGGAGUACGGUCGCA
This 906-nucleotide ribosomal RNA is filed under the name uncultured bacterium. RNAcentral describes it as "bacterial SSU rRNA". It matches the Rfam family "Bacterial small subunit ribosomal RNA", at positions 8 to 890 of the family's 1533-position model. The record is from RNAcentral.